GAUGAACGCUGGCGGCAUGCCUAAUACAUGCAAGUCGAACGAGAGGAAGGAAAGCUUGCUUUUCUGAAUCUAGUGGCGAACGGGUGAGUAACACGUAGGUAACCUGCCCAUGUGCCCGGGAUAACUUCUGGAAAUGGAUGCUAAAACCGGAUAGGUAGCAGACAAGCAUUUGACUGCUAUUAAAGUGGCUAAGGCCAUGAACAUGGAUGGACCUGCGGUGCAUUAGCAAGUUGGUGAGGUAACGGCCCACCAAGGCGACGAUGCAUAGCCGGCCUUGGAGGGCGGACGGCCACAUUGGGACUGGGACACGGACCAAACUCCUACGGGAGGCAGCAGUAGGGAAUUUUCGUCAAUGGGGGGAACCCUGAACGAGCAAUGCCGCGUGAGUGAGGAAGGUCUUCGGAUCGUAAAGCUCUGUUGUAAGAGAAAAACGACAUUCAUAGGGAAUGAUGAGUGAGUGGUGGUAUCUUACCAGAAAGUCACGGCUAACUACGUGCCAGCCGCCGCCGUAA
This 512-nucleotide ribosomal RNA is filed under the name uncultured bacterium. RNAcentral's name for it is "partial 16S ribosomal RNA". It matches the Rfam family "Bacterial small subunit ribosomal RNA", at positions 28 to 523 of the family's 1533-position model. The record is from RNAcentral.